RNAcentral lists this long non-coding RNA (404 nucleotides) under Cricetulus griseus (Chinese hamster). Its description in RNAcentral is "lncRNA (ENSCGRG00000026403.1)". Lineage: Eukaryota; Metazoa; Chordata; Mammalia; Rodentia; Cricetidae. The record is from RNAcentral.
GGAAUAUAAAAAGUAAAUUAAUAAUAAAAAAGAGAAAAAAAUCUUUUAUUUAUUUAUUUAUUUUGGUUUUUAGAGACAGGGUUUCUUGUGUAGUUUUGGAGCCUAUGCUGGCACUCGCUCUGGAGACCAGGCUGGCCUGGAACUCACAGAGAUCCCCCUGCCUCUGCUGGGAUUAAAGGGGUGCACCGCCAACGACCGGCGAGAAAAAAAUCUUAAGAUACCGGAACUCCCGCCCAACAUACAUAUUUCUAUACACAGGGCUGGUGCUGACCGAGCGCAACAUCACCGGGUGGGGGCGGGCGAGCUUGCUGGGUGAGCAUCGGGAAAGAGGCUGCGCGACUUGAACCCUCCCAGCCACCGUUAAGCUGCGGCCGGAAGAGCUCGACUCUUUCCGGGUUUGGCGG